CACUAUCGUUAACUGAAUACAUAGGUUAACGAGGCGAACCGGGGGAACUGAAACAUCUAAGUACCCCGAGGAAAAGAAAUCAACCGAGAUUCCCCCAGUAGCGGCGAGCGAACGGGGAGCAGCCCAGAGUCUGAAUCAGCUUGUGUGUUAGUGGAACGGUCUGGAAAGUCCGACGGUACAGGGUGAUAGUCCCGUACACCAAAAUGCACAGGUUGUGAACUCGAAGAGUAGGGCGGGACACGUGGUAUCCUGUCUGAAUAUGGGGGGACCAUCCUCCAAGGCUAAAUACUCCUGACUGACCGAUAGUGAACCAGUACCGUGAGGGAAAGGCGAAAAGAACCCCGGCGAGGGGAGUGAAAAAGAACCUGAAACCGUGUACGUACAAGCAGUGGGAGCACCUUCGGGUGUGACUGCGUACCUUUUGUAUAAUGGGUCAGCGACUUAUAUUCUGUAGCAAGGUUAACCGUAUAGGGGAGCCGCAGGGAAACCGAGUCUUAACUGGGCGUUAAGUUGCAGGGUAUAGACCCGAAACCCGGUGAUCUAGCCAUGGGCAGGUUGAAGGUUGGGUAACACUAACUGGAGGACCGAACCGACUAAUGUUGAAAAAUUAGCGGAUGACUUGUGGCUGGGGGUGAAAGGCCAAUCAAACCGGGAGAUAGCUGGUUCUCCCCGAAAGCUAUUUAGGUAGCGCCUCGUGAAUUCAUCUUCGGGGGUAGAGCACUGUUUCGGCUAGGGGGUCAUCCCGACUUACCAACCCGAUGCAAACUACGAAUACCGAAGAAUGUUAUCACGGGAGACACACGGCGGGUGCUAACGUCCGUCGUGAAGAGGGAAACAACCCAGACCGCCAGCUAAGGUCCCAAAGUCAUGGUUAAGUGGGAAACGAUGUGGGAAGGCACAGACAGCCAGGAUGUUGGCUUAGAAGCAGCCAUCAUUUAAAGAAAGCGUAAUAGCUCACUGGUCGAGUCGGCCUGCGCGGAAGAUGUAACGGGGCUAAACCAUGCACCGAAGCUGCGGCAGCGACACUAUGUGUUGUUGGGUAGGGGAGCGUUCUGUAAGCCUGCGAAGGUGUGCUGUGAGGCAUGCUGGAGGUAUCAGAAGUGCGAAUGCUGACAUAAGUAACGAUAAAGCGGGUGAAAAGCCCGCUCGCCGGAAGACCAAGGGUUCCUGUCCAACGUUAAUCGGGGCAGGGUGAGUCGACCCCUAAGGCGAGGCCGAAAGGCGUAGUCGAUGGGAAACAGGUUAAUAUUCCUGUACUUGGUGUUACUGCGAAGGGGGGACGGAGAAGGCUAUGUUAGCCGGGCGACGGUUGUCCCGGUUUAAGCAUGUAGGCUGGUUGUCCAGGCAAAUCCGGAUAAUCAAGGCUGAGGUGUGAUGACGAGGCACUACGGUGCUGAAGUAACAAAUGCCCUGCUUCCAGGAAA
RNAcentral lists this ribosomal RNA (1424 nucleotides) under Klebsiella pneumoniae. RNAcentral describes it as "bacterial LSU rRNA". It matches the Rfam family "Bacterial large subunit ribosomal RNA", at positions 146 to 1615 of the family's 2925-position model. The record is from RNAcentral. Lineage: Bacteria; Pseudomonadati; Pseudomonadota; Gammaproteobacteria; Enterobacterales; Enterobacteriaceae.